This 506-nucleotide long non-coding RNA is filed under the name Bos taurus (domestic cattle). RNAcentral's name for it is "long non-coding RNA NONBTAT011616". The record is from RNAcentral. Lineage: Eukaryota; Metazoa; Chordata; Mammalia; Artiodactyla; Bovidae.
GGAUAGUUUCAGUGUUAUCAUCCAAACGCAAACUGGUCUAGAAGGGUAUUGUAUCACUGGCUAAGUGUCAUUUCCGGAUUCUAACUUAACCAUUAAAUCAGCAGUAGAUGUUGGUUUUUGCCCAAGAACAUUGCAGACAUUGGAAUUGAUUUCUUCUGAAGUUGUGAAAAGUGAGGGAAACUAAAAGAAUGAGGUCGAGUAAGGAGGCGUUUUUUGAGAGGUCUUACAGUGAAGUUCAAACAUGAAUUUCCCAGGGAUGAAGACAGAAUGAUUCAGGGCCACAGCCUAAGAGCUCAGAGUUCUUCUACCCAGUCAGAGGAGUCUCCAGGAAAAGCAGUCCUCACAUCAUCAUUUAUAGAAGUUUAGAUAGAAACCUCUUUUUCUAGAUAAAUCUGUACCAACUUAUCACUGACAGUAUCCUUGUUGGAUACUAGAGCUUGACUUUUUCUCCUGAUUUACGAUAUUCAUACAGUUUUUUGGGGAAAAUGACAAGCAGAAUCACUUAG